AGGGGAUUGGUCAAGUGGCAUGACAGUGGUCUCCAAAACCAUUAGUGGGGGUUCGAUUCCCUCAUCCCCUGCCA
This 74-nucleotide transfer RNA is filed under the name Lachnospiraceae bacterium. RNAcentral's name for it is "tRNA-Trp". It matches the Rfam family "tRNA". From Rfam's summary of the family: Transfer RNA (tRNA) molecules are approximately 80 nucleotides in length. RNAcentral also lists the same sequence under 5 other names. Lineage: Bacteria; Bacillati; Bacillota; Clostridia; Lachnospirales; Lachnospiraceae. The record is from RNAcentral.